CCUACGGGUGGCAGCAGUGGGGAAUAUUGGGCAAUGGGCGCAAGCCUGACCCAGCAAUGCCGCGUGAAGGAAGAAGGCUUUCGGGUUGUAAACUUCUUUGACAGGGGAAGAGUAGAAGACGGUACCUGUCGAAUAAGCCACGGCUAACUACGUGCCAGCAGCCGCGGGAAUACGUAGGUGGCAAGCGGUGUCCGGAUUUACUGGGUGUAAAGGGCGUGUAGCCGGGUUGACAAGUCAGAUGUGAAAUCCUGCGGCUUAACCGCAGAACUGCAUUUGAAACUGUUGAUCUUGAGUGCUGGAGAGGCAGACGGAAUUCCUAGUGUAGCGGUGAAAUGCGUAGAUAUUACGCGGAACACCAGUGGCGAAGGCGGUCUGCUGGACAGCAACUGACGGUGAGGCGCGAAAGCGUGGGGAGCAAACAGGAUUAGAUACCCGGGUAGUC
Molecule: ribosomal RNA, 442 nt
Filed under: uncultured bacterium
Lineage: Bacteria
Description: partial 16S ribosomal RNA
Rfam family: Bacterial small subunit ribosomal RNA
Source: RNAcentral